AAAGCUAAAUACUGGCCGGAGACCGAUAGCGCACAAGUAGAGUGAUCGAAAGAUGAAAAGCACUUUGAAAAGAGAGUUAAACAGCACGUGAAAUUGUUGAAAGGGAAGCGUUGUCCACCAGACUCGCCCGGGGGGGUUCAGCCGGCACGUGUGCCGGUGUACUCCUCUCCGGGCGGGCCAGCAUCGGUUUGGGCGGCUGGUGAAAGGCCCCGGGAAUGUGCCACCUUUCGGGGUGCCUUAUAGCCCGGGGUGCCAGCAGCCAGCCUGGCCGAGGSACGAGCUUCGGCGAGGAUGCUGGCGUAAUGGUGGUCAACGGCCCGUCUUGAAACACGGACCAAGGAGUCUAACAU
This 350-nucleotide ribosomal RNA is filed under the name Talaromyces funiculosus. RNAcentral describes it as "partial large subunit ribosomal RNA". It matches the Rfam family "Eukaryotic large subunit ribosomal RNA", at positions 312 to 681 of the family's 3401-position model. The record is from RNAcentral. Lineage: Eukaryota; Fungi; Ascomycota; Eurotiomycetes; Eurotiales; Trichocomaceae.